ACAUUGGUGGUUUGGUGGUAGAAUUCUCACUUUCCAUGUAGGAGACCCAGGUUGAAUUCCUGGCCAAUGCA
This 71-nucleotide transfer RNA is filed under the name Loxodonta africana (African savanna elephant). It matches the Rfam family "tRNA". From Rfam's summary of the family: Transfer RNA (tRNA) molecules are approximately 80 nucleotides in length. Their secondary structure includes four short double-helical elements and three loops (D, anti-codon, and T loops). Lineage: Eukaryota; Metazoa; Chordata; Mammalia; Proboscidea; Elephantidae. The record is from Rfam by way of RNAcentral.